UUAAUAAAAUCGGGGUGUUGCUUUUUUGUGACGUACCGGAGAUUGAGCUACCUUUAACUCUCGGGUUUAAGAGGCUUAAAAUUGAACUUAUUUGCGCACUUUUUUAGACGUAUAUAAUUUUUUUUAUCGUCUAUUCUGGUGCCAAUUACUUAUUAGGUGCGAUCAUGUUAUAUGAUCUCGUGCCUAUAAUUUCUCAUC
This 198-nucleotide unclassified non-coding RNA is filed under the name Rhizophagus invermaius. RNAcentral describes it as "partial internal transcribed spacer 2". The record is from RNAcentral. Lineage: Eukaryota; Fungi; Glomeromycota; Glomeromycetes; Glomerales; Glomeraceae.